UUCCAUAAAAUUCAUAUCAUAUAUUCAGACCAAUAGCCAUGACAUGAUUAAUAUAUGCUCAAAAUAAAAAAUCUUGAAUUAUAAAAUAAUUCUCCAACUAAACUUAAUAUAUCAUAAAAUCUUAUAGGUACAUGCCGACAAAAAAUAGUACAAAAAAAUCACGAACUCAAUGAAUGCGGGAUUUUCUGCUAGAUAUUGAUAAGGAGUGCACACGAUUGAACCUAACCUGCACGAGGAGUACAAAUUGAACACUGAGUAAUCAACUCAAUGACAUUUCUAUAACUAAUAUUGUAAAAUGACAAACUAUGUAAUGUCAAAAAUAAAAAUCAAAGGUUCAUAAGCAGCUUAGUAUGUUCAAUUAUAUUACAAGACAUAAUUCUUUCUUAUCGAAUUUUUAGUCAUACCGUCUCGUUGUCACAUAUUCAUCUUCAACUCCCUGACCUGUAGACUCCAAAAAUGCAAUUAAAUAUAGAAUAAUCGUUUACAUUCACAUAUUAGAAAUAUCCAGCUUGGAUAGCACUUAAUCCUCAAAUAUGACAUGCUUCCAAGUUGUGCAUUUUAGGACAGUAGUGUAAAUUAAAACUUGAAAACUCAAGGAAGUUAAGGUUUAAUUUAUCUUCUUGCAAUUUAAACCAAAACCGAAAAUGUAAUGGUUUAAGAACCUUACCAGAUACAACAUCACAACUUAACACACGAGAAACUACAAAUUUACCAUUCGAAAAACUCACUUUUGAUCAUCAUUAACAGUAGCAAUUUAAUUUAUCGAACAAGGAUAUUUUAAACGCUAACUUAAGCAUUUUCAAACAACAUUGACAACAACCCAUUUAGUUAAUGAAGUCAACAUAAUCGAACACCAUAAAAAUGGGAAUUUAACGGCUAUUACAAGCAUCAUACAAAAUGUCAUAACUUGUGAGAUUUAACAAACAACUUUUCACCAUUAAUUCAUCCAAGGACAGUUGACAUUUAACAAGUAAAAGAAAAUGGAACUUAAUUCAUCCAAGGACAGUUGACAUUUAACAAGUAACAGAAAAUGGAACUUUACUUUACUUAAAGCAUCAUUUUAACAUCAAAUUUUAUGAACAUAUUUUAGAUAUUAAAGUUGUCGAACCCUCCUUGUCAAUUCAUCAAUUUAACACACAUAAAAUAAUUUUAUGAGAACUUACAAAAAAACUUCCAAGAUGGUUUCCUACACUUUAACCCUCCACCAUUUCAAGCACACUCACAUGGCAAAAAAAAUUAGUUAAAUCUACAAAUUGUCCUGUUUUUGCAUUCAGAUACUAAUAAUUUCAGUAUUUAUUCAACUUGAACAACCUUAAGUGUAAAGUUCAGUCAGCUUUGUCCAUUGUAUUUUUUUUUAUAUACAAUUUUUUUAAACUUAUGGUGAUUAUACAUUCACGAUAUGAAUCUAUUAUCACAAUAAUAGUAUUUGUACUUGAGAUACAUAAUAAUAAUGAAAGAAACUAAUGUCUUUUUAUCAAAUAUUAAGUGCAUGUGUCAACCAUGUGAAUCUAGCAGGUAGUAGUUGAGUUUAAGUUACGAAGUAGGUUCAUGAACCUGUUUCUCUACCUGGACACCAUCCAUUCUGGCCCAUGAUCUCAAAACAAAAGGAAAAAUAUAAGAAUUCAAGAGAAUACCAAGCUCCAAAUGAGCUGUUGAUCAAAUCUGUCAAGCUAAAUUCAUUUGAUCCAAGGAGCAACAUUUAGUUAUUCAUAUACCAACUUCAAACAUGAUAAUUUAUAGCAUUUAAAUACCUAAAGUUUCAGCAUUUGGACCAGCUUCCGACAUGAUAAUUUGCAGCACGUAACAUCUAAAUUUUUAGCUUACUAACAUCAUAAAUUUACAUCCAUUUGGACAUCAUUAGUUAACAUUUAACAAUUUAGUUUCAUAUUGUUCAGACCAUUUUAAUUUCCUGAUCACUUGAAUGAUCUUUAAUUAAUAUUUGGACAGCAAUAAGCAACCAUCGAUCAUACCACAUAAAUGGCUAAGAAAUUAGACAGCAUGCAUGCAAACUAAAUGCUUUAGCAGCUCCCUCGACAGACAGAAAUUUCACUAAAAUUUCACUUAAUUCCAUUACUCAUACCAGCAUAAAGAUGCAACAAAACAACCAAAGAAGAAAAUGUAAAGAACUCACAAUCAUUUAGUUAAUUAAGUAAAUAACAUAUGCAAUUGUUGCAUUUUUAACAAGUUUAAAGCAUCUUUAAAUAGGGAAAUUAAAUGCUGAAAGUCCAGCAUUUGGACAGAGGCCAAAGUUGGCAUUUAACCUCAUAAUUCCAUAUUAUUUCAACUAGUAGCAGUCCAUCUCCUCAACAAAUUUAAGUAUAUUCAGUUCAGCAAUUUCAUACUUAAAAUUGAGCAUUCUUAGCAACGGUCAUCAACAAUUAACUCAACAUUUAAUCUCUUCAUUUUUUCUUUUAUUCUGAAUAGCCAAACAUUAAUUUCAAACCUCAAUACAAUAUGCUAAUUUAACUACCAUGUACCAUAUACAACUCAAAACAACUAGCAUCAACUUGUUUAACUUUUAUUUAAUUUUUCUUUAAACAACCAAAUAACCAAGUGUAUAGUCCCAAUAAACUUCCAGCCAAAAUAAAAAAUUUUUAAGUAUUAGAAUGCACACAAAUUUUAAAGUUUUGGAUUCAAGCACUCACCAGAAAUUCCAAGCCGAGCCUAGCCUUGAGCAAGCUCUUUCACCAUCUUGCUGCUGCCUUUUCCUUUAGACGACUGGAAGAGGGAUUUUCCUUCAAUAAGUGAAUUUCUUGAGAAAAUAAGCUCCCAGCCGAGCCAAACCAAGCAUGCAAUCAGCUCUCUUCUCCCCCUCUAUUCAAACAGUAGCCCGAAAACAAGCAGAAAUUUCUUCCAUUCAAACCAGCCCCCAGAAAUAUAUGAGAAUGGAAGGAAGAAAAUACGAAUACCUUGGUUUACUUUUCCCCUUCCUUGUUAUUGCCGUCCAACUUCUUCCCUCCCCUUUCUUUUUCUUUUUUUUUAUUUUCCCUUUUAUUUCUUUCCAUUUUCAUGAAUUAUUUAUUAUAUUAACAUACCAUUAAUGAUCUUAAUCCCAUGACCGUCCACUUUAAAGGAACAAGGGGGUAUAAUUGCUACUUUAGUCCUGUUAAUUUAUUUCAAU
RNAcentral lists this long non-coding RNA (3121 nucleotides) under Gossypium barbadense (sea-island cotton). RNAcentral describes it as "long non-coding RNA (GBAR_LNC003031)". The record is from RNAcentral. Lineage: Eukaryota; Viridiplantae; Streptophyta; Magnoliopsida; Malvales; Malvaceae.